Molecule: long non-coding RNA, 625 nt
Organism: Medicago truncatula (barrel medic)
Lineage: Eukaryota; Viridiplantae; Streptophyta; Magnoliopsida; Fabales; Fabaceae
Exons: 2
Source: RefSeq, a predicted model, not a curated record
AAACAAUCUUCUAUUUGCUACACAUAAAGAAGAAGAAACAUGGCUGUAAUUCUCAAAUUUGUUUAUAUUAUGAUCAUAUUUCUUUUCCUACUUUAUGUCGUAAAUGGAACUCGAUGUAAUAGAGAUGAAGACUGCCCAUUUAUUUGUACCGGACCUCAGAUUCCGAAGUGUGUUUCACAUAUUUGCUUCUGUCUUAGCAGUGGCAAAGAAGCAUAUUGAUUAUACUUUGCAAGUAUUGUUGGUGUUAGAAUGGAAGGAUGUGCAUUUAGUCAUUGUGGAUUUGCCAUGUUUGGAGAAUCAUCUUUGUGUCUUUUUAGUUUUGUUGUUUUAUAUCUUUCCUAUGAAAGCGUUCUUGUUCUUUUGUUGGUGUAUUUGUUUUAAUAAAAAGUUGACUUUAUGUGAGUUGGGCUCCUCAACUUAUUAGAGUCAAGUCAAACCUUAAAGCUCGACAAGCUUUAGAGUUACUUAUGAAUGAGUCAACUUAAUUAUUACCAACUUAACCAACUUUCAUUGGCUUUGUUGGUGUAUUUUAGUCUUGUUGUAUUUCUUGGUGUUUUAUUUGGGCAGCUUUGUUAAGCUUGUUCUUACUGAUAUUUAUCUAUGUAUCCUUCUUCUAGUUCAAGCA